This 523-nucleotide long non-coding RNA is filed under the name Ananas comosus (pineapple). Its description in RNAcentral is "long non-coding RNA (ACOM_LNC028842)". Lineage: Eukaryota; Viridiplantae; Streptophyta; Magnoliopsida; Poales; Bromeliaceae. The record is from RNAcentral.
UGGAAAUAAGAAUCUUAUAAUUUUGAACGGAAGUGCUGAAUCCAAUUCGCCCGGAAAUGACGUUUUUGUUACUACCGAUUCGUCGAAAAGAAAGAUCCAGGUUGCCUUAGUCAUGGUUUCUUCUUUUGUGGCCGGUUUUUCGGUUUCGUUCCUCAUGUCUUCACUGACUUGGAAAUUCUUGAUUCGUAAAAAAGCAACCGAUGUGCAAGAUGAAGACAACCUUUCUGAUUUGAACAACAGGAAUAGGCUGCAGAUGGUACAGAGGCUGAGGAUGUUUCACGAACGGUAUUACUUGGGACAGCUCACCACUGCAUUAGAAGCUCUUUAAUUAGGGAGUUUUUUUAAAUUUUGGAGCCCAAAAACUCAUUUGAGCUUAUUGCCACAGUAGGACCUCUAAAUAUCUCUGUUUGCUAAAUGUAUAAAUGCUGCUUCUUAGAGUAGAGAAGCAGUUCAAGGCCCAAGAGCCUCUUAAUAAUGUUUGCUAUCAUGGGACAAGCAAGGUUGAAAUUCAGAGACAGAAAAC